RNAcentral lists this ribosomal RNA (475 nucleotides) under uncultured bacterium. RNAcentral's name for it is "SSU rRNA". It matches the Rfam family "Bacterial small subunit ribosomal RNA", at positions 26 to 523 of the family's 1533-position model. The record is from RNAcentral.
AGGACGAACGCUUGCGACGUGCCUAAGAAAUGCAAGUCGAACGGAUCAGCAGCAAUGCUGGUUAGUGGCGAACGGUCGCGUAACACGUGGGCAACCUGCCCUGAAGCGGGGGACAACAAGCCGAAAGGUUUGCUAAUACCGCAUGUGGAUCGCCUCGGCAUCGAGGAUUAUCCAAAGCAGCAAUGCACUUCAGGAUGGGCCCGCGGCCUAUCAGCUAGUUGGAGGGGUAACGGCCCACCAAGGCUUCGACGGGUAGCUGGUCUGAGAGGACGAUCAGCCGGAUUGGGACUGAGAUACGGCCCAGACUCCUACGGGGGGCAGCAAUUAGGAAUCUUGCACAAUGGGCGAAAGCCUGAUGCAGCGACGUCGCGUGGGGGAUGAAAUCUUUCGGGAUGUAAACCCCUUUGUCAGGGAAGAACAAUGACGGUACCUGACGAAUAAGCCCCGGCUAACUACGUGCCAGCAGCCGCGGUAA